AGUGUGAUUAUGUAGCUUACCUUACCAUCAUAUUUCAAAAUUCCUUUUUGUUUUAUAACUUAUUUUCCUGUUCUGUUCAUUUUGCAGGACAAUCCCAUUUGCCUGGAAUCUCAUUACAGCUGGUUAUGUUGAACAAUCUGUAUAUGGGGUAGUGGUCAACACACUCGGUCUCCUGUUUAUUGGGAAGCUGCUUGAGCCAAUAUGGGGUUCCAGGGAGUUCUUUAAAUUCAUCUUUGUGGUUAAUCUUCUAACUUCAGUAUGUGUAUUCAUCACUGCUAUUGCCUUGUACUACAUUACGAGGCUGGAGACUUACCUUUACUUUCCAAUUUCCGGAUUUCAUGGAGUUAUAUCUGGUUUCUUGGUUGGCAUCAAGCAAAUUAUACCAGAUCAAGAGCUCCCUUUUAUCAAGAUAAAAACAAAG
Molecule: non-coding RNA, 421 nt
Organism: Cajanus cajan (pigeon pea)
Lineage: Eukaryota; Viridiplantae; Streptophyta; Magnoliopsida; Fabales; Fabaceae
Source: RefSeq, a predicted model, not a curated record